CGACGUUCUCAGGGCGGGGUGAAACUCCCCACCGGCGGUGUCCGAGGCUUCGGCCGAGGGAGCCCGCGAGCGCCUGCUGGCUCAUGCUGGCAGGGUCAGCAGACAUGGAAGGCGAUGCCCGCGCAAAGCCGAAGCCAUGGCCGACGGUCACAGUCCGGAUGAAAGAGACACGCAA
RNAcentral lists this non-coding RNA (175 nucleotides) under Hydrogenophaga sp. H7. Its description in RNAcentral is "FMN riboswitch aptamer (RFN element)". It matches the Rfam family "FMN riboswitch aptamer (RFN element)". Rfam says of the family: The RFN element is a highly conserved domain that is found frequently in the 5'-untranslated regions of prokaryotic mRNAs that encode for flavin mononucleotide (FMN) biosynthesis and transport proteins. This element is a metabolite-dependent riboswitch that directly binds FMN in the absence of proteins. Lineage: Bacteria; Pseudomonadati; Pseudomonadota; Betaproteobacteria; Burkholderiales; Comamonadaceae. The record is from Rfam by way of RNAcentral. RNAcentral also lists the same sequence under 1 other name.